UGAAUGGAAAAAAUAGGGUGAUGUUUGGUUUAUAAUUGAAACAAGAAUGCAAAAUGAAAUUAAAUUAUAUUAGAAUCGAAAAUAAGUGAUGGAUCAUUUAAAAAUAUUUGGUUUAUUAUUAGAAUAAAAAUUGGAGUGGACAAUUGGGGCAUGUAUGAUUUUGAAAGAGAGUUCAUGUUAAAAGAGAAGAGAGUGAUGACGGAGAGGAGGGAGAAGUGCCUGCGAGUAGGGAUGUCAAUGGGUAUGGAUAUCCGAAAUUUUAUCUGAACCCGAACCCGAAUGAAACGGAUAUAUCCGAUACUAAAUGGAUAUGGAUUCGGAUAUGGAUAUCGAAAAUAAAAACUCGACGGAUAUUGAUUCGGAUAUUAAUUUUGACUGUACCCGACCCGAACCCAAACCCGACCCGAUCCCGAAUUUAUUUUGUAUUAUAUAUAAUAUAUAUAAAAAUUUGAUGUUAUAUUUGAAUUUGUAUUUUAAAAAUUUAGAUUUAAUAUAAUUUAUUUUGAAAUAUUGAAAAAAGAAAUAAUUGUUUCGGGUUCAAAUUUUCGGGUUUGGGUUCAGGUUUCGAAUUUUUGGUCUGAUUUGGGUUUGGAUAUGAAUUUUUAAAAUCCGUCGGGUUCGGGUUCGGGUUCGGGUUUUUGAAAAUCCGCUCCGAAUCCGACCUAUUGACAUCUCUACCUGCGAGACAGGGUUUGAGCGAUUUGCUCUGGAAUAGGUCAAUCUGGAAUUCAAAGCUAGAUUGAACCAUAAAUGAAUUGGGUCAUUCUCAUUGUAAAGUACGUGUAAUGGAAAUCUAAAUUUGAUUAUGUAAAAUAAAUAAUAACUAUCGAAAUUAAUAAAUUUCAUUUCAAUUAUGUAGUCCAAAAUAGUUGAACCAAACAAGCUAUAAAUGUAUUGCCAUGUACGGAUGAAAAAUUGUAAUCUAGCUACCGGAAGUUCAAGGUAGGCAUGGGUUAAAUAUUGCAACAGAUCUGCGUAUCCAGAUAAGUGAUUACUAUAUUAAACCAUUUUACUCGCUUCUAACUAUUAGAUUGAAUCACCGACCGUUUCUAGAGCAAGUGGCAAAGGGCUUGGUGGUUGGUACCCGAGACCCAAAUUCGAAUCAUAGUUGAUUCACAUUUCCAGCUAAGUUUAUUUCUAAAUAAAAUAAACAAAGCGGAUAGCGUACUAUCUAUCUCUCAAAAAAAAAAAAAACUAUUAGAUUGAAUCUUAAAUUAUAGUACGAGUGUGAUAAAUUUUAUGUAGGUUAACAAUAUAGAAAAUAAGGCGGAAAUUGGGAUAACUUCGUACCCUAUCUACAGCUUAUUAUUUUUAUCACUUAGGUAUCGUUUGGUUCGGGGAUAAGAAAAAAGUGGCUAUUCCAGGAAUAGGUAUAAAUUGAGGUAUAAGCGAGGAUUAGAUCAAUUUUGCGUUUGGAUGAAAAUUGGGUUAUUUCUGGAAUAAAAAAAAUAGCGUUUGGUUAGGUAAGAUGGAAUAAGAAAGAUAAUGGGUUUUGUAAAUAAAAAAUAAUGAUAUUAUCCACUUAUUAUAUUUGAAUUUGAAUUUUUAAAUUUUUAAAUUUAUAUUUCUAAAUUUAAAAUU
RNAcentral lists this long non-coding RNA (1581 nucleotides) under Ananas comosus (pineapple). RNAcentral's name for it is "long non-coding RNA (ACOM_LNC028212)". Lineage: Eukaryota; Viridiplantae; Streptophyta; Magnoliopsida; Poales; Bromeliaceae. The record is from RNAcentral.